UAACAGCACCGAAAAGCUCAUUCACAAAGUUCGCUGGGGGUGCAUAGAGCGGAAUUCGAGCUCAAGUGUGGCCAUUAUAUACGAGGUUGAGAGGUUGAUAGCACCGAGGCAGAAAGAAAGG
This is a long non-coding RNA of Selaginella moellendorffii, 121 nucleotides long. RefSeq lists it as uncharacterized. Lineage: Eukaryota; Viridiplantae; Streptophyta; Lycopodiopsida; Selaginellales; Selaginellaceae. The record is from RefSeq and is a predicted model, not a curated record. The transcript has 3 exons.